Long non-coding RNA from Passer domesticus (house sparrow), 3474 nucleotides. RefSeq lists it as uncharacterized. NCBI's taxonomy places the organism in Eukaryota, Metazoa, Chordata, Aves, Passeriformes, Passeridae. The transcript has 2 exons. The record is from RefSeq and is a predicted model, not a curated record.
CGUGUGCGCCGGGGAGCCCCUGGAGCCGGGGGCUGCAGCCUGGCUCCGUUCUCCCAGCAAGAGCGGGGGGUUCAGGGAGCCCCGAAAAGUGCGUGCUGUGGUGCCGGGGGAGCUAGAAGGGCCUGCGGGAGACUUUCACUCGGCUGUAGCAGAGCUGACAUAUGGCUGGGCAGGACCCGGCUGGCCCCGCUGCCUGGCCCUUUCAGGGCUUGGUGUUAGGGCUGGGGAUUAGCCUGUCUUUUCCCUGAGCAAUAGCGCGCAUGGGUCUUCCUUGGGAGCGCCGCCAGCGCGGGGAGACAGAGGCGUCGGGGGGGGGUUUUGUGAGUAAGGUGCUUCGUCUUUUGGAAGCAUCGGCAAAAAUGUAUAUUUAUUAGGAUUUUCUCCGGGGUGGAUGAACACUUGAAGAAAAAUCCUUUUGCGGUACCACUUUGAUUUAGCGCGUUGGCUGCUUCGCUCAUCAGGACGUGGAAAAAUAAGUUCUUCCUAAGCAUGAAAAUAGGAGUACAGUUACCUGCUGUAAUUUCUUGCAUUUUGUGAAACACAGCUGGAAAACCCAGAACCACUUUAGUUAGAAAUCUAUGGAAAGGCUUGUGUGCUGUCCAGUGGGCCCCUUGGUGGCUGAUUUACAGCUGUGGGUCAGCUGCUGGUGUAAAAUAAAGCGAAUCUGCCCAUUUUAUCUCCAUCCGGGGGGGCUCUCGGCUUCUUUAGCCGAACUUCAGUGCAGCACGCCAGAGCUGUUGCGUGUGGCAGCGUGUGCUCAGACAGAUCCAAGGCUCUCGGGAGCAGGGAAAUCCAGGCUUUUUCAUCUGGUGCCUGGUGCAGUCAUCAGGGUGACUCUCGCUGCUGUCAGUGAAUGCUGGAUUUUGCCACUCUAGAAUGCACUAUUGCUCAAACAACGGUGGGAGAGGGCUUGUCUGCCCCAAACACCAGUUUUAUAUUUGUGUCUCUCAAAUGAGUGAACACUUGCAAAUGUGUGUGAGUUCAAACAACACUUUCUACCUUUUUUAAUUCUGAUCAUUUUAGGCAUGCAUCUGCACAAGUGAAGGCUCCUGUGUCUUAUGGACUUCCCACAGGGUACAAAAUUGACAGAGGCACUUCAGUUUGCAUCUAAGGGCACAGGAAGCUUUCACAUGGCGAGGUGUCUCUUUUUAGACAGCACUUGAGCUGUGCCGGUGCCUGCUGGCUCUGCAGUGGGAAGGAAUGGAAAGCAGUCUUGGCUGAAUUGGGCCCUGGAGCAGUACAGAGCCAUCUUAAUUGCUGCUGCUCCACCUCUUGAGGAGAUGGCUCUGGUUCUCCCAGCAUGGAGUUGUGUGCACCGGCUCCGGCAUGGCUCCUUGCCCACUGACACGGGAAUUCAUGGUGUCGUGGUCCUGCCUGUGGGACUGGCACCUCCUGCUUCCAUGCAAGGAGGCCUGGAGUGCUGCACUUGUGGGAAGAAACAGUGGUGUGGAGCAGGAAGAGCUUCUGGGCUGAUCCCAAGGACGCUUGUGUGUAGAAGCCCUCGCAUAUUUUUUGGGUGCCAACAAGCAGAGUCUGCUGAAUAAUCAGCUAAUCAUGUAGUAAAGUCAGGGAUCUGGCCCAGUGCUGUGCCUGCUUGCUUUACUGCAGCUCUGGUUUCCUGCUGCUGAUGCCCAGGUGUGUAAAGCAGCUCCUGGUCCAUGUUGCUGAGUCCAUGUGUUCAUGUGUUCACAGCACAAUAGAACUGAAUUCACACUUGGCAGGCCUGGCUACUUCUUUAACGCUGCCACAUGGAGGCCCAAAUUUCAAAACAGCCUCAGCCUGGCUCCUGGUGGUGGCUCAGACACUGCUGUGUGCAGCCAUCCUGGGAAAGGAUGUAAAGCAGAUUUGGCACAGAGGCGACCUGAGAUAAGGGCAGCUCUGACAUCUUCUGGAAAAUCUCUCUCCCCUCAGUAGGUAGCCCUAACAAAGCAUCUCCUGGCAGUGGGAAGGGGGGACAGCUCCACCCUGGUCGGGCUCAGAGCAGGUGGUUGGUGGUCAGCGGGGCCAUGUCUGCACCAGGGCUGUGGCAGGGUUGGCAGUCAUGGACAGUGUGAUUCCUAAAGCUUCCAGUUAAGGAUGAGACCAAAAAAGGGCAGGCUGGGGGCUUGUUUGCAUCUUCUGGGCACUGUUUUAUAAGGAAGCACAUGGGAAGUCCUGUCUGAAGCAGAACAUGUGAGGAUUGACAUUUUGGCUUUGAAAUCUUUGAGACAGAAAUUAGUUUCUGCUGGGCAGUCCAAACCUGUUUUGCUUUUUUCCAGUAAAGACUACUGCCUGCCUGUAUGUGAAUAUUAAAUAAAUGUUUUCCAACCCUGGUGUGUUACCCUGGUAUAUUCUCCCUCUUGCUUUGCACUGAAAAGGAGUUGUCAGAGUUGCACAGGGCUUUUGCUCUUGCCUUCAGCCUCACAGUGGUUUGCAGUGUGCCUUGCUGGCUUUCCAUGCUCAGAACCUGUGCGGUCUUGUCCACCUUCUGGUUCUGCCAGGGCAGUCUUUAAUGCUUUAACAAGCUAACAAGUGCUCCUCUGAUUUAAACUUGCAUUAACUUCUGCUACCCUGCUAGAAUUCCUAAUAUUAUAAACACCCUUAAUAACAUGGCUAUAAUCUAGAAAACCUGCUGUCCUUUUUCCAAACAAUUACUUAAUGAGGCAGUAAUUUAUUCUAAGCUAUAUUUAUUGGAGCCCAUUCCAGCUUUAUCAGACACACUCUGGUUGGAUGUGUGCAGUUAGUCAAAAACAUUAAAACUGCUCCACUUCUUCCAGGGGAACAUGUUACAUUUAGCAAACUGACAGCAUUAGAAACUGUUUCCAAUUUAAUAGAAGCAUAUGUUUCCUGCAAGGCUUAACACACUGCAGAGUCAGAAAUUGCCUUAGACUGCGGCUUUGCCUUUUUUUAGCGUGGUGAAAAGGAGCUGCAAACUGAAGGCAGAAGUGGAGUUCGUGUUUUUGGUUGUUUUGCAGAGAUCCUUCUAGCAGGGCUUCGGCGGGCUGCAAGUUUAAGAAACUCUCAAGAAAGUGGUGUGGGCGGUGCACACUGAGCUCUCGCUCCAAAUGCAGUUUCUGAUCAUGAACAAACAGCAAGAGCUUGCUUUGCCCUCUGGGCCUCAAAUAGUACAGUAUGCAACAAGGGAGAGCAGGCAAGGCACGAGGAUGGAAACAGUAGGAUCAGAUUACAGUUUCAAAAUAUCGCUGGAACACGUUGGCUGGCGUUACACUAUUGACUGGCUUUAUAAUUGCAUUGCUUAUUUGCUAGGGAAGGCUUCACCUUACUUUCUGAUUAACAUGGACACUCCUUCGGGGACCUGGGGACUCCAGGCUCUGAGUAUCAAAGGCAAACCCCGUGAGACCUGCACGACUUCAGAUGCUUCUCAAAUGAGAGUCUGAGCUUCCUCUGUUGUCUCCUGUUUGCCAGAGGUUUCCUUACACAGCCCCUAUUGAAGUUCUACUUAGAAUAGCCUCUGACAGUCACCCACUAUGGUUU